Molecule: unclassified non-coding RNA, 376 nt
Filed under: uncultured bacterium
Lineage: Bacteria
Description: contains 16S-23S intergenic spacer region
Source: RNAcentral
UCCGAGUUGACCCCGGCAGUCUCCUAUGAGUCCCCACCAUUACGUGCUGGCAACAUAGAACGAGGGUUGCGCUCGUUGCGGGACUUAACCCAACAUCUCACGACACGAGCUGACGACAACCAUGCACCACCUGUGCACGGCCCUUACGGACCCCGCAUCUCUGCGAGAUUUCCGGCGAUGUCAAACCCAGGUAAGGUUCUUCGCGUUGCAUCGAAUUAAUCCGCAUGCUCCGCCGCUUGUGCGGGCCCCCGUCAAUUCCUUUGAGUUUCAGUCUUGCGACCGUACUCCCCAGGCGGAGUGCUUAAUGUGUUGACUUCGGCACAGCAGGGGUCGAUACCCGCUACACCAAGCACUCAUCGUUUACGGCGUGGACUAC